Molecule: long non-coding RNA, 1142 nt
Organism: Lolium rigidum
Lineage: Eukaryota; Viridiplantae; Streptophyta; Magnoliopsida; Poales; Poaceae
Exons: 3
Source: RefSeq, a predicted model, not a curated record
GCACCUCGACGAAUCGGGUGAUUCCGGUCAAAGUUCUCCCUGCCACAAAAUAGGUUCUGGAAAUGUCGGGACUCAGGCAGUGUCUGGUGCUUCUGCUGAAGCAGCUGGUGCUUCCGCUGAUGAUACAGUCUCGCGUACUCCGCCACCUCCAGCUACUGUGGUCUUUGUGUAUAUGAUGGAUCUGUUGUUGAUUUAGUCUGCUAGCUCAUGUCGCUGAGUUUUUUACUCCAUCUGAGAAGCAUCCGGUUGACAUUGAGCAGUGUGAGGAUUUGGGUGGUGGUGAUUCAGGUUUUCCUCUGGGAAAUGCUUCUGAGAAGAAGUGUGUAUAAUGAAGGGCUAUACAAGGCUAAGCCUGAUUCAGACAAGAUGAUAGCCUGAAUAUGACUUGCCAGCUAGAGAAAAUCCCUUUGGGUUUAAGAUUAGGAAAACCUAUGGGGGGCCCCGACGGUCGGAGACAGAUGCUUGGGAAAGUCUGGGUAAAGCGCUAAUCCAGGAAAUCAUGUUGGAAACAGGGUACAAUGUAGAUGAUGUAAACUAUCGUUUUGCAAUGUGGCUUGUAGCCAGUUUGCUAAGUUGCAUCGCAUUGCUGGAUUGGCGACUCUGAUGGCACAUUGUGCUCGAGAAAGAGAUCGCGAGGCCACCGAGUCAUUGAAUAAAGUGAGGGAAAAACUUUCGUCUAUAUGCCUUCGGUAUGACGAUGUGCUUCCUUUUUCUAAGGUUAAAGAGGCAGGUGAUGGUAGUGUGUUAUCUGGACGUAUGGAAGAGCUGGCCAGGGAGUUGGUGAACCUAGCGCAGGGCGACGACGAACUAGGAUUGGACAGUGUGGACUAGGAGGUAUGUAGAUGUUGUCUGUCAUAGAUGUGUCCAGGUGCUCAUGUUUGUGGACGAUUGCCAGUGCGCUUUUUUGCACUGGUGUUGGUCUGUUCGUAGGUGUGUUAGAUUCAGCCGACUUAAGGGAGGAUGCAGGUGUGUUUUGGGGCUGAUGGUCGGCUGCGGCAGGUUUGUUGGUGUGUCGUUUAAUACACGUGUUUAGUCGCGUGAGGUGUGCUUUUGCCGUUCUGUAAUUAGGACGAUGUAUCGCUUUAUGUGGAAGCUGAUGCAUGGUUUUAUGUGGCUUUGUGAUUUUCUGCACGCCCUUUUGU